Mustela erminea (ermine) is the source of this 3131-nucleotide long non-coding RNA. RefSeq lists it as uncharacterized. Lineage: Eukaryota; Metazoa; Chordata; Mammalia; Carnivora; Mustelidae. The transcript is spliced from 7 exons. The record is from RefSeq and is a predicted model, not a curated record.
GCAGUAAUGUUGCGACUUGAAAGGGUUAAUGAAGCUUCCCUAACAUCUGCCUUAUAACCAGACAGACAUUUAUUUAUCAGAGACUCUGGCUGAAUAAAAUCUGUAGAAGCUUCUCCAGAUUUCAAUUUUUAAAGAACGUUUCCUGGCGGAGAUAAGAUCUUCACUAAAAAGAUAAAUCUAUGUCCUGCCAUAUGUACAAUGAGGAAAGAACAGAAGUCUUCUCCAAAGCACAAUAGAUUGAUCAGAAGAAUGGUCUCAUGAGCUAGAUGAUCUCAGUAGCUCUGAGGCCUCCUUCCCAUAACAGUGAACCUGAUUCCCAAGACAAAAUAGAGGGCUCCAACCAAGAGGGAGAGAAAACGAAAACCUGAGACUUGAGGCUCUCUCUUCAAGCCGUUGAAUGGGAUAAUGCUACCAAGGCUAUGUAUGAAAGAGGGCUGGAGACGCAUGAGUGUCUGCAGCUCACACUGGCUUCAAGCCAUCAUCUGCCUCAUCAGAUCAGCCAUUCAAUUAUCCAAAAUAUUGUGUGUUACCUAUUCAGUCAUCAUCCAGCCUGGAGGCAUCUGAAUAAGGAAAAAAAUGCUUUCCAUUAUCAAGAUAUGGCAUCGAUUUUCAGGUGUACAAUAUAAUGAUUCAACAAUUCUACCUAUCCAUUACUCAGUGCUUGCUUAUCAAGAACUUUUAACAUUCCCCUUCAAGCUGGCAUCAGGCUUUCCAAAGUCCUGACAACUUAUCGCACCCCAAUUCGGACUCAGGAUUUUCUCUACCCACCUAUCCACCCCUUAGAGACAAGUUUGUCAAGGUCAAAAGAUCAGGUGAGUACCAAUCACUUCCACCCUGCCAUCCUCCUCACCAGCGCUAAGCCUCGCCAAAGAAAACAGCCCCACGCUAGGAUUCUUUAUGACACGCUGAGCAAAGGCCACAGAUUGCUAAACAUUGCUAAGUAGAUCUGAAAUGAAUGAAGUCAUCUAGCUCUGUGCAUAACCCAGUCUCUCAGUCUGUCAGCAUAAACAUAUUUUCCUACAAAACUAAUAAAAAUCUGGAGGUCAGCUAAGACCACCAUGUUUUUCAUCAUUACCACGAUCAUCCAAAACCUAAACCCCUCCAGGUAAUUCCCCUUCGCUACUGCACUCUGAUCUCGUUUUCUGCUAGGUACUCUCCCCCUCCUCAACCACCAUCCAGUCCUCCCGUAGCUCUACUUCCUGAGGACCCUUUAUACUGUUCCCCUGUAAACAAAUACCCGAAGCCUUGAACCAAUCUGAGCACCAUUCCAGCAGUCUUCUUGUCUAAACUAAAAUCUGACCGCAGCUAUUCUUUCUGCCCUCAGCAAACGCACAGCACGGAAGUCAGUCCUUGUUCACCAUCGAGGUUCUGCACCCUCAUGUACCUCUUUAGAGGCACCCUCAAGGUACUCCUUUUGAGGCACCCUCAAAGUACCUCUUUUGAGGUGUCUGUCCUAUUCCUACCUCUCUCUCCUUGUUUCUGUCAUCAACUGACCUCUUAGUCACUUUCCCACAUCCACCAAAGACUUUGGAAUCUAGUUCAGAAUCUUCCCAGCCCUUGCUCAAGAAGCAUUCUGAGCAAUUCACUUUCUAUGAAGCUGACUCCUCUGCCCCCGAGCUUUACACCUCCCUUAUCUGCUCAACCCCAGUAACCUUCACUUUCUCUGCUUCAGAAACCCAUUCCAUAGCCAGCUCUAGCAUUCAGUCAUAACCAGCAACUGCUCCUCCUAGUUAAGCUUCAAUUUAACUUAAUCUUAAAUUCCAGCAUCCAGUCUCAACCACUUCACAUCCCAGCAGCCACUUUCUGGUUUCGGUUGUUCCCUAGUUUGCCUCGAGUCAAUGGCCCAUCACUUCAAACACCUUCACUGCUGGAAUCUCUUGCCUCCCUUUCUGCCACACUGGCUCGUUAAAUCCAGACCAAGAUCAAUCUACUCGUUCAACUUGUCUGCUCAGACGCUCGGGCUGCUGAGCCCUGAGAUGCGGGGGUGGGGGGGUUGGGGGGGAGAUCACUCACACAGCUACAUACACCAGACCCAAGAAAAAUGUGUCAUUACAAUUCUUCUACGUAAUUCUGUUCAGUUAGCCCUCUCAUUUCCCCCAAUGGCUUUCUCAAAACUCUCCCUUUCUCCCCAAACUCUCCCCUACAGUCACCAUCUCCUUCCCCUAUAAUCUCAGCUAAUGACUUUAUCCCCCUCACCUCACUGGAAAAAUUCAUCAAGUGUACUGAGGCCCCAAAUUCCUCACCUAUCCCCCAAACACUUCUUUGUUGACCCCAUCUCUCCUUCCAUUAUCCCCAUGUCAGUGAAAAUUAUAUUCCUACUCCUACUCAAACCCUGUAACUUUACUCCAUUCUCUCUAAUCCUAAGGAUAAUGUUCAGCCAAACUCACAUACCUCCUUCUUCCUGUAUCACUUCUCCUUUCUGAAUUCUCCUGUGAAGCAUAUAACCAUACUUACGUCUCUCUCAUCUGGAUACAACAUGUGCCCUACCUACUAUCCUUCAAGCUUUUGGAAAAGAAUGUCUGCACUGUCUCCAACUCUCUUACAACCAUUCACUCUUUGUCCUCAGCAACCUGGCUGUGUCUCCCCCACAGAGACUCCACUGACGUUUUUCUGCUAAAGACACUCCAUCAUCUCCUCGAUGCUCUGCCCUUACGUCAGUUGACCUAUUUUGAGACAUUUGACACUGCUCACCACUGUCUCUUAAGACUUCUCAGUUUUCAUUUAACAAUAUCUACGGGACACCUACUUUCUACAAGAACUGGGGAUAAAAUGAUGAGCCUGGCACAGUAAGCCCUCAAGGAACUUAGAGUCAGGUGGAGGAAGCUUCUACAAUCACACUCUUCUUUCAACCUCUCAGAUCACUCCUUCCUUUCUCUACUCAACGCUUAGAGACUCAUACUCCCUCGGGACUCCUUUCCUUGCUCUUCUCACAUCCAUCCUGGGAUUACCGUGUUCACACUGCCUACUCACUGAUGAUGACAAAAUACAGAUCUCUAGCUUAGAAGUCUAUCCUGAGCUCUGGACCCACUCACUCUCUAUGAAAAGAUACCAGUACUUCAAUAUCUCACUAUCUUGAUAGUAUCCUCUGAUGCACAAAAGUACUGAAUUUUGAUGAAGUCAAAUUAUCUAUU